CCUACGGGAGGCAGCAGUGGGGAAUAUUGGGCAAUGGGCGCAAGCCUGACCCAGCAACGCCGCGUGAAGGAAGAAGGCUUUCGGGUUGUAAACUUCUUUUCUGAGGGACGAAGCAAGUGACGGUACCUCAGGAAUAAGCUACGGCUAACUACGUGCCAGCAGCCGCGGUAAUACGUAGGUGGCAAGCGUUAUCCGGAUUUACUGGGUGUAAAGGGCGUGUAGGCGGGACUGUAAGUCAGAUGUGAAAACCAAGGGCUCAACCUUGGGCCUGCAUUUGAAACUGUUGUUCUUGAGUGCUGGAGAGGCAGUCGGAAUUCCGAGUGUAGCGGUGAAAUGCGUAGAUAUUCGGAGGAACACCAGUGGCGAAGGCGGAUUGCUGGACAGCAACUGACGCUGAGGCGCGAAAGCGUGGGGAGCAAACAGGAUUAGAUACCCCAGUAGUC
RNAcentral lists this ribosomal RNA (443 nucleotides) under uncultured bacterium. Its description in RNAcentral is "partial 16S ribosomal RNA". It matches the Rfam family "Bacterial small subunit ribosomal RNA", at positions 338 to 795 of the family's 1533-position model. The record is from RNAcentral.